CCUUUGCCUAUAAAUAUGGAUCCCAUGGGGGGUCCAUUUUGCACAUUUGUCUUUGAAGUGGUACCCUACUUGAGGUUGGAGAGAUUGUUCCCAAAUGUCUGUCUGCUAGUUUCUUCUCAUUUCGUCUUUCUUCUUCAGUUUGUCCUGCGUGAGUCUUCUCUUUAUGAGUUCCUUUUUUUUUUCCUUUAUUCUGUUAGUUCUAUGUUGAACUCCAUAGACAACGAGUUUGCAGAGAUUGAGUUGGUAGAGAGGGAGGUUGUGAAAUCAGCCUCCUAAGCUCGUAGAGAGUUGGGGGAGUUCACCUGGUCUCUAACAAGAUCGAAAUUAGCCCCAAUGAACCCUUCACCCCUAGCCAAUGUACCUUAGUCGACCUGUAGAGGAUUCAUCUUCUUUAUGGGGGUCCCGACGAGUUCCGUUUUAGGCUUUCCAUUCCCAGCGAGGCCCCCUAGCACCAUAGUCAUAACGAGGUUUGUGUGUUCGAGCAACACUUCAUUGUGAGGUUGAGGUUUCCCCUUCCUCGUCUAGUUAUCAACCUUCUUAAUUGCUUCUUAAUCACUUUAGGGCAGCUUUCCCCUUACACCAUUAGACUUAUAAUCGGUGUUGCAUCGGUGAGGCAUGCACACAAAGUUUCCAUUAAUAUAAGGGCUUUCUUGGUUCUCUGUGGUCUUAACCACACCCCUGAUGACAAAAAAUUCUGUUAUUUUACCUUCGAGACCAAUAAGAAGUUCCUCGAAGGCCUCCCAAACAAGGUCUCAAACUGAAAGUCAAACUACUUCUUCAUCGUCCAAGAUAGUUUCUAGAGGUUCAUUAAUCACCGGGGCUUGGCUAUUGGUGACCCUAACGGUCAAUACGUGACCUUGGAGGAAUCGAGCCAAUUGUAGGAGGUUGCUCGUCUCGAGCUGAAGAUUGAUGAUUUCCUGAUUGAGGACACACUCCUACGAGUUGGCUUGAGCCCAAAGUGUCAAGAGAGCUAUGGACUUGACGCUAGGAAGAUUUUACACUAGCAGGAAGCCAAGGCUGAAGAAGAGGAAGACCAUAGAAGCCGAGCCUUCUCAUGAUGUCGAGGUGUGAGUUACCUCAUCUGCCCUUGAGGUCAUUUCCAUUAAUGAUGAGGUUCUUUAGGCCAAGGUAACUGAAUAACCCUUCGGGAUGGAAGCGCAGUCGGGGCUAAGGACACUCCAAUGCCUCCACCUCCAGUGACUUUUCGGACACUGAUCUCCUCUGUUCCCUCAACUACUACACAAAUGGGACCUUUCGUUCAGCCCUUUGAACGGGCGUUGAUUUGGACUGCUAUGUAGUUGGUUUGCCAAAAUGAUAAUGUGCAGAAUCGUGCCAUUGCUUGCGAGCUGAGCAGGGGGUCAGUGCUGCCUUCUUCUUGGGCGGAGAUUAAAAGUUUGCCCUUUGAUGUUAUGGAGACUCGCCUCUUCAAAUAUAUUAUGAAGGCCAAUGCUAUGGGCCAAGGGGUGUGCGAACGAGCUCAGAGGCUGUAGGACCGAGUUGAUAACUUAGCUCAGAUAGAAGAAGGUUAUCUUGUUGAGCUAACAAGGCGUUGAAAGAGAAGGAUCAGGUGGUGUCCAUCUUUGAAGCUCUCAAGGCUGAGCAUGAAACGAUCGUCGCCAAUCAUUGGACAACUAUUACCAAGUUAUCCCAAAAGCUUAAGGCGUUUGAGUUUGAACGCUGUGUGUUGUUAGACGAACUCAAGGACCGAGAGGAGAGGGAGAAUGCGAUAAAGGCUGGAUUGUUGAAGGCUUAGGAGGAGCUAAAAGCCCGGUUGGAAAAGCUAAGGAAGAAAGAGAGGAAUUGCUUGUAGCAACUCAGGAGAAAAUGGUUGCUGACUUCAAGCUCUCCAGGGAGUAUAGUUGGAGAAGGUCGAGUUUGCGAAGCCCUAUGUGAUGAAGGGUUUCAGGCUAUGCAAGCUCCUUUCCACCAGGAUCCUGGACAACCCCAUUGGCUAGUUCAAGAUUUUGGAGGCUCUAGAUGAGUUCUUCUUGGUGCCUGACAUGGACAGUGAUGCUGAGGAGGAAACCACGACCACUAAAUCUGACUUGACGACUCCUACAAGUGAUUAGGCUUUCAGCAAUCUGCCUCCUCUAGUGACCAGUUGAUAUUUUCUCUUUUUGGUGUACUCCCCAAGCUAUUGUGCUUGGUUUUUAUGAUGUGGACCUUUUGUUACUUGCUUCUUUUGUCUUUUUGAACUUCUAUGUACCAACCUUCUUUGAUCAAUAAUAGAA
This is a non-coding RNA of Nelumbo nucifera (sacred lotus), 2231 nucleotides long. Lineage: Eukaryota; Viridiplantae; Streptophyta; Magnoliopsida; Proteales; Nelumbonaceae. The record is from RefSeq and is a predicted model, not a curated record.